UACGUAGGGUCCGAGCGUUGUCCGGAGUUACUGGGCGUAAAGCGUACGCAGGCGGCGGCGUUGGCCCGGCGUGAAAGCCCCCGGCUCAACCGGGGAGGGUCGUCGGGGACCGCGUCGCUUGAGGAUAGCAGGGGUUGGUGGAAUGCCCGGUGUAGUGGUGAAAUGCGUAGAGAUCGGGCGGAACACCCGUGGCGAAGGCGGCCAACUGGGCUAUUCCUGACGCUGAGGUACGAAGGCGUGGGGAGCGAAC
Molecule: ribosomal RNA, 250 nt
Filed under: uncultured prokaryote
Description: partial 16S ribosomal RNA
Rfam family: Bacterial small subunit ribosomal RNA
Source: RNAcentral